Pteropus alecto (black flying fox) is the source of this 74-nucleotide non-coding RNA. The record is from Rfam. Lineage: Eukaryota; Metazoa; Chordata; Mammalia; Chiroptera; Pteropodidae.
GACUCCGUAGUGUACUGGUUAGCACAUCUGUUUUGCACACAGAAGGUCCUGGGUUCGCACCCCAGGUGGAGCCG